This 145-nucleotide unclassified non-coding RNA is filed under the name soil metagenome. RNAcentral describes it as "partial internal transcribed spacer 1". The record is from RNAcentral.
UAAUAAGUGUUUUAUGGCACUUUUUAAAUCCAUAUCCACCUUGUGUGCAAUGUCGGUCGAUCUUCUUCAUGGAGAUCGACCAAACAUCAACCUUUAUCUUUUAACUCUUUGUCUGGAAAAUAUUAUGAAUAAACAAUUCAAAAUA